GACUGAUCAAUUUAUUGAGCAGUUAGUGGCGAAAGGGUGAGUAAUGGAUAGGUAACGUACCCCGUGCUCUGGAAUAGCGUCGUUCGCCUUCGGGCGAGCGUCCGAAAGGGGCGGUAAUUCCGGAUAAUAUCAUUUGUCGACGGGCGAAUGUUCAAGGAUUUAUCGGCACGGGAGCGGCCUAUCUCCUAUCAGCUUGUUGGUAGGGUAAAGGCCUACCAAGGCUGCGACGGGUAGCGGGACUGAGAGGUUGGCCCGCCACAUCGGGACUGAGACACUGCCCGGACCUCCACGGAGGGCUGCAGUAACGAAUCUUGCGCAAUGGGCGAAAGCCUGACGCAGCGACGCCGCGUGUGGGAAGAAGUCUUUCGGGAUGUAAACCGCUGUCAGGGAUAAGAAAGUCCGCUUCGGCGGAUUGAUCUAACCCAGAGGAAGUCACGGCUAACUUCGUGCCAGCAGCCGCGGUAAGACGAAGGUGGCAAGCGUUGUUCGGUGUCACUGGGCUUAAAGCGUGUGUAGGCGGAAAAGUAAGCGUCCUGUGAAAGCCCUCGGCUUAACCGAGGAAUUGCUUGACGAACUGCUUUUCUUGAGUCAAGCAGGGGUGCAUGGAACUCUUGGUGGAGCGGUGGAAUGCGUAGAUAUCAAGAGGAACGCCUGUGGUGAAAACGGUGCACUGGGCUUGUACUGACGCUGAGACACGAAAGCGUGGGGAGCGAACGGGAUUAGAUACCCCGGUAGUCCACGCCGU
Molecule: ribosomal RNA, 745 nt
Filed under: uncultured bacterium
Lineage: Bacteria
Description: bacterial SSU rRNA
Rfam family: Bacterial small subunit ribosomal RNA
Source: RNAcentral